This 67-nucleotide transfer RNA is filed under the name Marmota monax (woodchuck). RNAcentral's name for it is "tRNA.Ala". Lineage: Eukaryota; Metazoa; Chordata; Mammalia; Rodentia; Sciuridae. The record is from RNAcentral.
GUUGUGGCUCAGCGGUAGAGUGCUCGCCUAGCACGUGCGAGGCCAUGGUUUGAUCCUCAGCACAACA